RNAcentral lists this long non-coding RNA (222 nucleotides) under Lathyrus oleraceus (garden pea). RNAcentral's name for it is "Pisum sativum (pea) long non-coding RNA (PSAT_LNC014709)". Lineage: Eukaryota; Viridiplantae; Streptophyta; Magnoliopsida; Fabales; Fabaceae. The record is from RNAcentral.
UACUACUAUAUCAGUAUCCAGUCCUGGCAUGUCUUCAUAAGACCAAGCAAAAAUCUCCACAUAGUCAUGUAACAUCUGAAUCAAUCUUUCUUUGACAUUGUUUUCCAAGCCUUCUCCUAUUUUGACUUCUUUCUUGUCUACUUCAGUACCCAGAUUUAUAAUUUCAAUUGAUUCCUCAUGCGGCUGUAUAGUCUUUUCUUCUUGCAGUAACAGUCUGGCAAG